UGACAUCAACAUACACCAUGCCAGGGUCGCUGGUAACCCGUGGCUGGUGACCUGUGGCCUGUGAGUUGUGACCGAAGAUGCAGAACUUCACCGGCGGCUCGGCGGCCGUGCCGGUCACCCAGGUGGAACUGACCCUGUCAUGUCGACACCUGGCGGACAUGGACGUGUUCUCCAAGUCGGACCCGAUGGUGGUCGUCUCGGUGGCACCGUUCGGCUCGUCAGCACGCGACAGACGCUGGGACGAGUACAAGCGCACCGAGGUGGUGCAGGAUAACCUGAACCCCGACUUUGCCACCAAGGUGCCCAUCGCCUACCGGUUCGAGGAGCAGCAGUUUCUGCGGUUCGACGUGUACGACGUGGACUCGUCGUCUGCCCGGCUGGAGGAGCACGACUUCCUGGGCCGGCGCGAGUGCACGCUCGGCGAGCUGGUGUCGGCGCGCGUCUCCGAGCUGCGGCUGCAGGGCGGCCCGCCCAGCGGCGCGCAGCCGGCCACGCUGAUCGUGCACGCCGAGGAGAUGCUGGGCUCCAAGGAGGAGGCGGUGCUGCAGUUCUGCGGCAGGAAGCUGGACAAAAAGGACUGGCUGUGGGGCAAGUCGGACCCGUACCUGGAGCUGUUCAGGUCGACCGAGGAGGGUCAGUGGGUGCUCGUCUCGCGCACGGAGGUGCUCAAACGGACGCUGAACCCCGACUGGCGGCCGGUGACCGUGUCGGUGGGCUCGCUGUGUAACGGCGACUACCAGCGCAACAUCCGUGCCCUCUGCUGGGACUGGAACGCCAGCGGCACGCCCGACCUCAUCGGCGAGUGCUUCUUCACGCUGCAGCAGCUGCGCGACGCCACCAAACCGGCCGCCUUCGACUGCAUCAACAAGGAGAAACAGGCGCGGAAGGGCUCCUCGUACCGAAACUCCGGCCAGAUCAUCCUGCAGAGCUGCCAGAUCCGCGUGCAGCACACGUUCCUGGACUACAUCCAGGGCGGCACCGAGCUGGCCUGCACCAUCGCCAUCGACUUCACAGCGUCCAACGGUAACCCCAUGCAGCCGGACUCGCUGCACUACCUGGGCCGGGACGCCGCCGGGCGUAUCAGUAACCCGUACGUGACGGCGCUACGGGCGGUCGGUAACAUCAUCCAGGACUACGACAGCGACAAACAGUUCCCCGUGCUCGGCUUCGGCGCGCGCGUGCCGCCGGCCGGCAUCGUCAGCCACGAGUUCUUCGUCAACAUCGGAGCCGAGACGCCGUUCUGCUACGGAAUCGAAGGGGUGGUGGCCGCCUACGAGCGCUGCCUGCCCCAGAUCCAGCUGUACGGACCGACCAACUUCGCCCCGGUGAUCCAGCACGUGGCAAACUUUGCCAGCCGGUACCGCGACGGCAGCCAGUACUUCAUCCUGCUCAUCAUCACCGACGGUGUCAUCACCGACAUGCCGCAGACCAAACAGGCGAUUGUGAGCGCCUCCAGCCUGCCGCUGUCCAUCAUUAUCGUGGGCGUGGGCGGCGCCGAGUUCGACGCCAUGGAGGAGCUGGACGGUGACGAGGUGCGUCUGACGGCCGGCGGCCGCGCCGCGCAGCGCGACAUCGUGCAGUUCGUGCCGCUGCGCCGGCUGUCGGGCGGCGACCCGGCCGCCGUCAGGACCCGGCUGGCGCGCGAGGUGCUGGCAGAGGUGCCGGCACAGUUCCUCGGCUACAUGCGCAGCGCCGGCAUCCAGCCGCAGCCGCCGCGCGCCGCGCCCGUUCCCCUGCCGCCCGACCCGCAGCUGGUCUGAGGCCGAUCGAACGGAGACCUGACCUGACGUGGAUAUUAUGGGCGCUCCCCGACCUCUGGGUGACUGGCAUCCCGUGUGUCCAAUGUGUCCGGUGUGUCCUGUCUGGUGUGCCCCCGGCUCCCCUUGUACCCACCCCACCCCACCCCGGGGGUCCUCGCCAGACUAGGGGCGGCGCUCGCCCGCUGGGCUGGGCCCUGUUUCACCGGUGAUAGCAGCAAGCUGCUAUCACGUUUCGCGAGCUGACGUCAUGUCGUGACGCCAGAAUUGCCCCUUACGUCAGCAGUAUGACGUCAUCACAUUACGUCAGCUCGCGCAAUUUGAUAGCAGCGUGCUGCUAUCACCGGUGAAACAGGGCCCUGGACUCCUGUGUGCGUGUCUGUGUGCGUGUGGGCGGGGACGCUGUCAAGUCGGGACUGCCGGCGGUCAGUUUAAGUCCCCGACCUGUCAGAUGUGCAUUUGGGUUUCCGUGGAUGAUGUACUUAGUAAUAUCGAAAUGUGAUGCAGCCAAGGGAUAUUGUUGAAGAGGCCAUAUAGCUGUUGUCCUGUGUGCUUAAUCAGACGAUUUUAUUUACUUGUUUUAUUUUUGUCGUGGAUGAAUGCUGACUGUGGUCCGAUUUGAAUGGGUUGUUGUUACGAUAUUUGUUUAAAUGUCAGCCUUUAUUAAUCUGGGACGUACCGAUACUGCUCGCCACUGUCGCUCAAUUUGCAGCCGUUUCGCACAGCUCGCGCUGCCGUUUAUAAUUCGAGGGUCCAACACGCGUCUGCUGCGCACAGAUGUGACGCGCCUUAAUCACUUCAGUAGCUGCCCCGCUGCCCGUGCUCCGUGCUCCGCAGGUGACCUGUGAGGUCAGAUAGAGCCCGCUAGCGGUGUGCCAUCUACCGUUUGUAGCCAAGUAGCUUGAUGAAGGGCCUAGACCCGUCAGCGGGACCCCGUGACCAUACUCUCAGACUCACCCCAGGGCAGUGGUGUCUUCAUGUGGCGUGCCUCAGAUGGGGCGGGCUCUCGGGGCACGCCGCCGCCGCUAAGGUCACUCACACACCCUCGGCUAACGCCACAAACUCAAAUACGCACCGAGCCCGCGCCCGAUGUUGCUGUGCCAACCGUAGCCCUAAGUGAGAAACCUUGCUGGUUUUUGCAACGGCUGAGCUUCGUUGUGAGGUUAAAUUUAGGUGUUGGUCGACUGGACAUAUUCCUACCAGUGGCACACGUCUCUUUAUUGAGGCUGGCUACGCAAAAUCACCCUGUGUUACAUAGGGUUGAGGUCGGAGUCAUUUCAUCUGAUGAAUUCCUUUUUGUGGAGCAUGAAAAUAGUCCAACUUCUAUCAAACUUGUCGGAUAAACUAGAAUUAUAUAUAGAAUAAAUUCGUAGUUGGUGAUUUCAGUAGAACCGUUUUUCCACAGCUCUGUGACUGGGCUUCUGUGCGUUUCCACGAGUUUCCAUCUAUAGCAUAAUUGCUGCGUCGUUCAAAUGUAUCCCGUUGCCGUCAUACAAGGGCGGUGGGUGACCCCGCGGGAUCUCCCUCACCUAAUUGGGAAGGGUAUGACGCAGCGCAGCUCCGUACCGGUACUAGCCGUAUUUAAUGGAGUACACCUGCUGCUGCUGGGAUGCUGCUGGGGUGAAAGAAUUCUGUUGCCUUGUGGGGUACACACGUCCGUGUCUGUGGGAGUAUAUGUCUGUCUGUUCGUAUCCCCACUUUCCAACACUACCCCGUGGUCAGUACAAGGUUGUGUGUACUUAUAGCAUUGCUUUGGUGUCUCGAUGUGCAAUAGGGUGUGCUUUGAUGGAUUGUUGUCGCUCGCGUGCCGUGUGUGUGAGCCCGCGGGUGUGCGUCCCGACCCAGCCCUCCCGGCCGGCCCGCCAGUCCUCUCGCUCCAGCCGGGCCCCGACGAUGGACGGGUCGCCGCCGCCGGCCGCUGCAGCUGCCCGCGGUGAGCUCUGUUUACGCUUUGGCCGCUGCGGCGUCUGGGUGCUUCCUCAACGCUCUGAAUGUGUGAGCAGAGCUGUGAUUGACCUGUCCGCCAGCCUCAACCCGUUGACGUGCCGCAGCGCAGGCGGAGGCUGUUGUCAUGUCUCGUCAGAACGCUGACUGGUGUGUUAUGUGGGCACUGAGUUAACCGGCUGCUUUCAUGUCUCGCCAUGGAGCGCUGUGAUCUGUUUGGACCGCGGGCUGCAGCUGCCCCUUCUCGGGGCGUUUGGCGGCGCUCUUUCGCACUUGCCUGUCUAGCCACGCGACCAGUUACUCCCUAUUCCUCAUAUUCUUGAUUCACAUGUAUUUUUGCUACUGCUUUACUGCGUCGGCGUGCGCCACCCGCUCGCUGUGUCGCGCAGAUGAAUCGAACUACGUGCGCUUUAACUGCCUGCCUGUCAUUACCGUGCCUAUUACAGUUCACCUCAGGGACUGUGGGGCAUCAAUGGGGUUUCUGUGAAAUACACAUCAACGAAUCA
RNAcentral lists this unclassified non-coding RNA (4207 nucleotides) under Amphibalanus amphitrite. Its description in RNAcentral is "copine-8-like, transcript variant X1". The record is from RNAcentral. Lineage: Eukaryota; Metazoa; Arthropoda; Thecostraca; Balanomorpha; Balanidae.